RNAcentral lists this unclassified non-coding RNA (350 nucleotides) under Hevea brasiliensis (rubber tree). Lineage: Eukaryota; Viridiplantae; Streptophyta; Magnoliopsida; Malpighiales; Euphorbiaceae. The record is from RNAcentral.
CCUCAUGCAGCUGCUUAAAAUUCAUUUUGAGAUUUGUAUUUUGCUAAAAACAACCAUUUGUUGGCUCUUUAGGUUCAAGAAGCAUCAUCCAAGUUAGCCAUUUUUGUUCAUAUUGACAGUCUACUUCAACACAACAUCAGCAUAGGCACAUGUAUUAUACUUAUUAGAUAUAAUGGAUAGAUUUCAAGAUUUUUCAAAUCAUUCAGCCUUAUAAAGACAUGCAGGAGUCAUAAGGUCUCUAAAAAUACUAGCAUCAAUAAGCAAAUUGGAAUAAAAAUCCACUUAUUGUGCUUUUAUCAUGCCUAGAUAAUCAGAACAGUUCCAAGAUAUUUCAGGUGAAAAACACUAAG